UGGGGAAUCUUCCGCAAUGGACGAAAGUCUGACGGAGCAACGCCGCGUGAGCGAAGAAGGUCUUCGGAUCGUAAAGCUCUGUCAUUCGGGACGAAGUUGCCUAUUGCGAACAGUGGUAGGCAGUGACGGUACCGAAAGAGGAAGCCACGGCUAACUACGUGCCAGCAGCCGCGGUAAUACGUAGGUGGCGAGCGUUGUCCGGAAUUACUGGGCGUAAAGGGCGCGUAGGCGGGAUAGCAAGUCUGUUGUGAAAUUGCGGGGCUCAACCCCGUAUUGGCAAUGGAAACUGCUAUUCUUGAGUGCAGGAGAGGAAAGCGGAAUUCCCAGUGUAGCGGUGAAAUGCGUAGAUAUUGGGAGGAACACCAGUGGCGAAGGCGGCUUUCUGGCCUGUGUCUGACGCUGAGGCGCGAAAGCCAGGGGAGCGAACGGG
RNAcentral lists this ribosomal RNA (430 nucleotides) under uncultured bacterium. RNAcentral's name for it is "bacterial SSU rRNA". It matches the Rfam family "Bacterial small subunit ribosomal RNA", at positions 355 to 776 of the family's 1533-position model. The record is from RNAcentral.